GACGAACGCUGGCGGCGUGCUUAACACAUGCAAGUCGAGCGGUAAGGCCCUUUCGGGGGUACACGAGCGGCGAACGGGUGAGUAACACGUGGGUGACCUGCCCUCAGCUCUGGGAUAAGCCUGGGAAACCGGGUCUAAUACCGGAUAUGACUCCAUGACGCAUGUUGUGGGGUGGAAAGCCUUGUGCGGCUGAGGAUGGGCCCGCGGCCUAUCAGCUUGUUGGUGGGGUGAUGGCCUACCAAGGCGACGACGGGUAGCCGGCCUGAGAGGGCGACCGGCCACACUGGGACUGAGACACGGCCCAGACUCCUACGGGAGGCAGCAGCGGGGAAUCUUGCGCAAUGGGCGAAAGCCUGACGCAGCGACGCCGCGUGAGGGAUGACGGCCUGU
RNAcentral lists this ribosomal RNA (390 nucleotides) under uncultured bacterium. RNAcentral describes it as "bacterial SSU rRNA". It matches the Rfam family "Bacterial small subunit ribosomal RNA", at positions 28 to 419 of the family's 1533-position model. The record is from RNAcentral.